GCACAAGCGGUGGAUGAUGUGGAUUAAUUCGAUGCAACGCGAAGAACCUUACCUACCCUUGACAUGUCCGGAACUUGCCAGAGAUGGCUUGGUGCCCGAAAGGGAAUCGGAACACAGGUGCUGCAUGGCUGUCGUCAGCUCGUGUCGUGAGAUGUUGGGUUAAGUCCCGCAACGAGCGCAACCCUUAUCAUUAGUUGCUACGCAAGGGCACUCUAAUGAGACUGCCGGUGACAAACCGGAGGAAGGUGGGGAUGACGUCAAGUCCUCAUGGCCCUUAUGGGUAGGGCUUCACACGUCAUACAAUGGUCGGUACAGAGGGUUGCCAAGCCGCGAGGCGGAGCCAAUCCCACAAAGCCGAUCGUAGUCCGGAUUGUUCUCUGCAACUCGAGGGCAUGAAGUCGGAAUCGCUAGUAAUCGCAGGUCAGCAUACUGCGGUGAAUACGUUCCCGGGUCUU
This 455-nucleotide ribosomal RNA is filed under the name uncultured Thiobacillus sp. RNAcentral's name for it is "bacterial SSU rRNA". It matches the Rfam family "Bacterial small subunit ribosomal RNA", at positions 923 to 1382 of the family's 1533-position model. Lineage: Bacteria; Pseudomonadati; Pseudomonadota; Betaproteobacteria; Nitrosomonadales; Thiobacillaceae. The record is from RNAcentral.